AGCUCCAAUAGCGUAUAUUAAAGUUGUUGCAGUUAAAAAGCUCGUAGUUGGAUUUCUGGUUUGAACGUCCGGUCCGCCUUCAACUUGUUUGUCGGUGCGUACUAUGGAUGUUUGGGCCAUUUUUUGUGAGGAAAUUCUUCUGCCAUUAAGUUGGUGGUUUUAUGGACUCGCAUCGUUUACUGUGAAAAAAUUAGAGUGUUUAAAGCAGGCGUUUGCUCAUUUGAAUACAUUAGCAUGGAAUAAUAAGAUACGACCUUGGUGGUCUAUUUUGUUGGUUUGCACGCCAGGGUAAUGAUUAAUAGGGACAGUUGGGGGUAUUCAUAUUUCAGCGUCAGAGGUGAAAUUCUUGGAUCGCUGAAAGAUGAGCUUAGGCGAAAGCAUUUACCAAGGAUGUUUUCAU
Molecule: ribosomal RNA, 400 nt
Filed under: phytoplankton environmental sample
Lineage: Eukaryota
Description: partial small subunit ribosomal RNA
Rfam family: Eukaryotic small subunit ribosomal RNA
Source: RNAcentral